This is a long non-coding RNA of Numida meleagris (helmeted guineafowl), 7268 nucleotides long. RefSeq lists it as uncharacterized. The record is from RefSeq and is a predicted model, not a curated record. Lineage: Eukaryota; Metazoa; Chordata; Aves; Galliformes; Numididae. The transcript has 6 exons.
UAUGUAAAGCUAGGAGUUUUGCUUCCACAGUAGUCCCAAGACAACUUGUCAGGGUAUGAACAUUGCGUGUUACAGAAAGCAUAGAAUAAGUAAGGAACAUGAAUUAACCAUAUCAACAGAUAACAGAGAAUCUCUGUGAAAUUAAAUUCUGUGGUGAGAUACGUAGGAAAUAUAUAUAAUUACUUGACUCAGAUUAUGACACACAAGCUAUAGAAAAUCAUGGAGCUCACAGUAUCUCUUAGGGCAGAAUCCAUGAUAAUGUGAGGAGACUGCUGCUCAUUUUGCUUUCUGCCGUUGUCAUGGUAGAAUGGUAGGAAAAAAUGUAGUUUUUUUUUUUUUAAACCAUUAUAAAUUACCUGACAAGAAUAUGGCAGUGUUCCAGAGUAUUAAAAACAGAUACAAGUCUCAGUUUGGCAUCAGUAGAGUAGGGUUCAAGGUGUUUUAACAGCAAAAACAUUUUAUGGUCAUUACCAUGAAGUACUGAGAUUGAAUGUCCUUGUACAGGAGCACGGGAAAGAUUUCAGUAAGUAAUAAUAAGUUCAAAAGAAACGGAAUGACUAUGGGAAAAGAUUGAGUACGGGAAGAGCACUAGCAGUAAAGUGCUUGCAGAUAAUUCAGAGCUUGUUUAAAGACAGUGUUUCGGAGGUUCAGAGUAAAUAGAGGCUACUCAUUAAUAAAAAUAAAAGAGGCCCUUAAUCAUGGUUAUGGUUUUAAAUUAAUCAUGGGGAAUGGUUUUAAACUAACACGAGGGAGAUUUAGCUUAGAUGUUAGGAGGAAAUUUUUCCACGCCGAGGGUGGUGACGUGCUGGAACUGGUUGCCCAAGGACAUUGUGGAUGCCCCGUCCCUGGAGGCAUUCGAGGCCAGGCUGGAUGCGGCUCUCGGCAGCCUGCUCUAGUGGUUGGCGGCCCUGCCCACAACAGGGGGGUUGAAACGACAUGAUCAUUAUGGUCCUUUUCAACCCAGGCCAUUCUAUGAUUCUGUGGUACGUUUAAAUUUCCCUUUAGACAUCAGAAGAGACUAUGGAAACUACAAGACGAUGUCUCUCAGAGUCCUGUGCAGGACAAUGGCAAAAACUAAAGCUCGGCUAAAACUGGCUUAAGAAUGUCAUAGCGUUGAUUGGCUAUGUAAAAAAGAUGGCACAAAUGCUGUCGAUAGGUGUGAAGUAACGACCGCAGAUUAAAAAGCUUGCCUAACUUUGGAUGUACAGUAGGAUUGUGGGUCAAUGUGACUUUCCUUUUCAUCCAGCGUAGCUGCUGUCACACAGCAAAAUAUUUUUAGGCUUCAUCAAAUGCCGUGGCAGGAAAUGAGGUUUUAGUGUGCAUUUCUUUGCUUUAGAAUGAGUCAUUUUAGUAGAGGACAGUUCAAACAAGCUGUGUGGAUUUGGUGUUCCGGGACCUCAGUCAAAGUGAUGAUGCUAGGCAAGACCAAGAUGCCAUCAAGAAUAUUUUUGUUGACACUUCUUCACGUAACACCUGUAGCUCUGAUGGCUAAUGGUGUUAAAGCCUUAAUUAAAAUGUAAAACCAGGUCUGUAGGAAGAGGAAGUCCAUCUUUUCCUGGAAGAAUGUGGUCCUCAGCGAGACGUUACGGGAGGAACUGCCGCAAGAUGUUUCUCCUACAACUUUUUUAUGUCAGACUCUAUCUAUUUUAGGAAUAGAGUCCUAAAAUGACUCGCUCAGGAAGAGUAGCGUCUAAGGCUAUGGCUCUAGUACUGUUCAGAGGUAGCGUUUGAUGAAGAAAACCUUGUGUCAUUCAUCAAGUGUGAAGCAGUCACCUGGCUAUGAAUGCCUACAACCCAUGGGAAAUCGAGGUUGCUUCUGCUAGUAUUAGUUCUAGAGUAUUAGAUAGUUUAUAUAAAAUGAGCUUGCCACACCCACGAAGUCUUCAGAAUAUUGGAAGGUCUCUGGGAGAUACGUGUAAAGAGGAAUUCCUUCGGGAAGGAAAUGUCAUUGGGCUUUGGAAACAUGGAGCCGAAGGACAGAGUGCAGAACCUGCGUGGGUAAAGCAAACAGCAGCUAGUAGCAAGUUAGUGUUGCCAUAAUCCAGAGCAAUUUAUCGUGCUUAAACUUCUAGUGUGUAUGCCAGUAUCACUAAGUGCCUUAUUUAAACCAUCCGUGCGUGUAGAGUGCAGCGCUGCUAAGUACACUGGAAUGGGAAACGAUGCGCCAUAACUGGUGCCGUGUGAAUUUACGGCCCAGCCUCCUCUCCAAGCUCUCUGGACAACUUUGUAAUUUUUUCCUUUGAUCUUGUCUCCCCUCCUUUUGAGGUUUAGGAAAUCCUGAUCUCAACCCCUUUGCUCUGUAUGACCGUGAUGACCGAGGAUCAUUAAUUUAAGGCUAAGUUUCUGGGAGUUCUGCUGUCUCUCCCAAGGUACUAAAUCCCCAAAUUAAUAAACAUUUAAAUUUCUGGCGUGUUUCAUUGCAUAGCGACAUGCUAAUGAUCUGUCUCCCUCCCUUACAAGUGAAGAGGCUCAGUGCACGGGCAGAUAAAAAACUGGUAAUACUCAUAAAACACCACGGGAAAUUCUCAAUUCUAUAUAAAGAAAACUUUGAAGCUCUGCUUCUCUGAAUCAUUUACUUGAUUAGGAAGGGUUUUAUUCUUUCUGACUCUUACUCUGACUCUAGUUGAGCUCUGACCUAGGAUUUUCAUCUUGCCUGCGUGUGAUGAAAUCUCUCUUGAUUUACUGGCAGCGCUGUUUGAAUAACACCAAACGGAUUUACAGGCUAGCACUGGUAUUUUCAGUUCACUGCUAGUGCUGGUCGACUAGCAAUAUAAUCUAGCUCAUUAAUUUGUUGGGUAUUGCCAUGUAAAGUUAGUUGAAUAUGUAUGAGGCAAAAUGCGAUUGCAAUAAAAUGCAAAGGUUUCCACAUGCCCGUGCUGUUGCCAGCGGUCCAACUUAAUUUACUUCUUGUCUUAUUGAGAAAGGAGCACCGGGAGACUUAACUAGCACGUCUUUGUAACGGUUCAAAGAGAUAAGAGCCGUAUUUGGAUUGGCAAGCCACCCUGGCCAUGAGGCUGUUGGUGCUGGGCUGCGUAUUUUGUGUUGGGAGGCCAAAAGUCCUGCUUUCAAAUGGGAGUCAGCCAGAGUGCAACGUUGAACGUGAAGCUCCAUCCAAGUUGCGUGUUCUGAGCUUGGGCAUUUGAGCAGGAAAAACAGGCGGGCUCUUGUCCGGUGGUGUCUUCUUUCCUGCUGCACAGAGUUUAUUUUCUAAUGAAUGGGAAAAUCCUUACCGAGCUGGGAGUUCUAUGGGAACUUGUGGUUUGACCUUCAUGAGUAGUUCUGGUUAAUAAUUAGUCCAGCAAGUCUCAUAAAUGCAGGGUUUAAGUCACUGCUGAGACAUCGAUCCUCGUAGUUACCAAAUGCUUAGAAAAGAUAAAAAUCACCUUCCCGACCUCAUUCUUCUUAAUCUAUCCUAUUAUUGUUAGUCUUUGUGCACCUUGGUAGUGCCUCUCGUGACAUUUCAUCCAAAGACGUUUCUCAAAAGGGAUUAAAAUAAAUAGUUCCAUUACUGAGGAACAGGCCAAGCUGAACAAGCAGAAGAGAGAAAAGCAGGAAGCCAUCCCGGCGUUGGGGAGAAGGAGAGGCAGGGAGGCUGAAGACCUCAAGAAAUCUCAGAACAGCAGUUUCAUACGUAGAAACCACCACCGUGCCCUGGAUCUUGAGGCGCAAAUGGGAAAGGAAGGUUCGUGCUAAGGCUGCUGUUCCUAGGACUGCAAUGAGAGACCGAUAUACAGAAUGUUUUAGGUUGGAAGGAAUCUUAAUGAUCAUCUAGUUCCAACCGCCCUGCCACAGACAGGAUUGCCACUCAGGAGGUCAGGCUGCCCAGGGUCCCAUCCAACCUGACCAGGGAUGGAGCAACUGCAGCUUCUCUGGGCAGCCGGCUCCAGUUUAGGCAUCCCUUGCUUUAUUUCUUACCCCUUGCUUCAUGUCAGGCCUGCUGUUUACUGCUUAUUUUACUACCAUUUCAAAGUCUGAUGUUUAUUUACACCUGACAAACGAGUAUUGCACCGCUUGACGUUGGUACGGCGGUUGCUGGAGAGGUCAGGCUGGGCUCCCUUCAUCCCACUGGAUUUACGGGAACGGACUCGUAAGGCUUCCCCCAGGGAAGGAGGCAGUAGUAUAAAGAAAGAUGAUGCAGAAUUUUAGCUUCCAUUUGAAAAAGAAAGGGUGUUUCCAGAAUUUACUGCUUUGUAGCGUGAUCUUAAGCUUACUUGUAUUCACUGAACAUAUCCAGAAGCCUUAAACAAUAUGGCUAGAGGAAACAUAUUCAGCUGGGACCCCUGGGGGGAUCGUAUGAGGAAAAGAGACAGAGGGUCCGGCAGCACGAGCAGAGCUGCGGAUGGGGCAAAAGAAGUCCCAGAGGAGAUGUACUCACAUCUUUCUUCUUUUCAGCUUUACUUGUGAGCCUCUGAACCCAUUUCAGGGAAGAGCAGCGCGUGGGGAGGCGAGAUGGGAGAGCGUAAAUCCGCGGGCAAUCAAACUUUCCUUGCUUUCACUGCUCACAAAAUGAUUUUGCUAGGGCCAAAUGUUAGAGUCUCUUCCUAGAGAAAACGAGAUUGACUUGAGCUUGUUGCAUUCAAACCAUGUUAUUUUGUUUCCCAAAUGCGGUGGCCGCUCAGGCUGCAAGAUUUAGGUAGGUUGUCACAUAAUUUUCCCUCCGAGUAGGCAUCCGCUGCGCUACGGAUUUGCUGUUGCGUAUGGGAGAUGGCUGUGCAUCUUAGAGCUAAUUAGAGUUUUUUGCGGUUCUGGCUCCUGCUGUAGCAGGAUUUUCUCUUCAGCACUGCGUAUUUUCACGGAAUUCAUUGUUGAGUGAAGAAAGAUAGGGCUUAGAAAUGUGCCGGAAGACUUUCUGCGAUCAGCGCGAUGAACUUCCAUGCGACAGCGAGCCUCUCCCGCUCACUCGCUGGCAUCCUUGGAGCUAUUGCCUUCCCGUACCGUAAGUGCUUGCUGCAUACGUCCCCUCCCUGUAAAAGAUGCGAAGCUUAAAUGUGCUCAUAUCUUCAGAAGGAGGAUACGUGCAGAAUGCAGAUGUCUGUUUAGAACUGCUGGCUCAGUUUCACGCAAAUGUCUCCUCUCUGCGGGCAGCUGGCAGAAUGCGAGAGCGUCCGGAAGCGCAUUCAAACUGGAUAUAUUUGUAAGGUGAGUGAAAGGAGCACGCUGGCUUCUGUGCGUGCUGAGCAGUACUUCUAUAGUAGGGUAAGUCAGGAAGACAGGCUCCAGCUCUUACCGGAGGAGCUGUAGGUCUCAAUGGGAUGCUUUCAGGGGGUGGUUUGGGGUGAGGAAGGCGAUUCCAGCAAGACGCAUGGGGGUCAGCUGGUUUCACUCUGCAUUUGUGCGCACUGUAACGUCAGAAAAAAGAUGAAGAAUCCAAGUCUUGCAAGUAAAAUACAAGCAGAUUGAGAACUUGAGGUGUGAAAUUAUCAUACGGUAGUAAGAUACCAACUUUUCCUGCCCGCUGGCGCCCUCCGGUGAGUACUGGCUAAUGCCUUUUCGAAGGCAGUUCGUCUGCUUCAGGUUCCUUAAUUUGCCUUUUGGCCAAAACGGCGAUAGUGCAGGGUAAGGGGAUGCACCAGCUGCUAUGGAACUGGCCACAUAAAAUCGGUAAGUUGGCAGCUAUUUACGUGACUAUGUCAAGGUUAGGAAAAGGAGGUAGAAUAAAGUGAAGGGCCGCUUCUUUUUUUGCACGUAGUAAUUCUUUUUUUUUUCUGAUAGAAAGCUGAUUUUGCGUUCAAUGAAACAGUUACAAGAAAAUUUGUGGUCUCUCGGUGGCUGUAAUUUUCCUGUUUGCUGACAAAUUUUGGGCUUAUUCCUUUCCUCUUUCCAUACAUGCUCAUCUGCUCUUGGCUUCUAACGAGAACGUAACGUGUGUUGGUGAUGAUUUCCCAUAGGAACGCAUUGAAAAAGCGAUUGCGCUGAAACCUGAGGAGCCGAAGCCUUACUGCCUUUUGGGCAGGUGGUGUUACCAGCACCUCAGCGCCGUGCAGAAGAGCUAUAGAGACGUCUGCCAAGACACUGCAUCUCAUUCAGGAUUUCUCAGCUUCCCAUCCAAACCCUCUUGCUGACCUCCUGUUAAGCCUGAAAGGUUUCUCAUCUGGAAUGGCUUGAAAGAAAGACUGCUUCUGCUUUGUUUGAAACCCCUCCUACAGCCACUGUACGGGAUGUGCUGCAAAACUUCCUAAAGUGCUCCAAGGACGCGGGGAACAGCUCUGCAGCUCAUCUCUGGAGGAAUCUUGCUUCCGAACCGCCAAUGGACACGAAAGAGAAUUCAGAAACAGAGAGAGAAGUCGAGGAGAUGCGCUCAGCCUGGGAGGAAUAAGAGUAGGAGAGCUCAUUCUGCUCGACACGAAAUCCCACUGAGAGGGGUUUCACGGCCCUGACGAGUUUGGUUGCGCUUUGUGGAUAAGCUGGAGGACAAGCUCUGCAUUCUCAUCAGCAUUUCUGGGAAAACAUCUUGAUGUCCCGCUGAGAGAAAGGUGAGAGUCGGUGGGCACCGGGAGACUGAUUUUUAGCGACCCGACGCACCAAAGGCCGUGGGAGUUCCUCACUUCCCUCGGCGUCUCGGUUCGAGCGGGCGCUGACGCAAUGGCUCAGGGAAAGGCCACUACAAAGAAAGAACGGUGCUGACUUAAAAAUAAGUGAGUCAUCGGUCCUUUCUUCCUUGCCGUGACAAAACCGACAGUGAUGUCCGAAACGCAGUCCCGUCGAUCCUGUCCAGUUAUACCUAAGCUACCUUUCUGGUUUUCUGUCGAGGAGAAACCAGUGCUGCUCGUUACAGUGAGAAAACACCAAGGGACUGAGAAGAUGUCGUUCACAAGAAGAACUCGGUUUUCCAGAGGUGCGCUGUUUUCAUCAGAACAGGGAGUAAUGAGGUUUUAAACUUCAGGACUUUCUCGUACUCACGUCACUCACACGAGAGCGAAAACUCGGUGCGUCCCUCCCGACUACGCGGCUACGGCUUAGAUAUAACAGCUUAGCAGUUGUUUAUCUCACCGUCUUCCCCAUUUAUACAUUUGACGCUUGUUAGCUACUUUUAUUUUGGUCCCGAUGGAACUCCCUACAAGUUUGAUGCCGAGUUCAUCUUAUGAGAUCCAGGUAAGGGUGCAGUUAGCUUUAUUUGCUUGAGACUAUACGUGCAAUUCUUACAAUCGGAGAACUGAAUUCAAACAGGGUGAAUCGAUCGCCGGGUCUCUGCUAAAAGAUACCAAAAGUACACAGCUUUUCUUACUUGCAGGCCUUCACUGUUGCCUAAGUCUUCAAAAUAGAAACUA